GAGUUUGAUCCUGGCUCAGAUUGAACGCUGGCGGUAUGCUUAACACAUGCAAGUCGAACGGUAACAGGCCUUCGGGCGCUGACGAGUGGCGGACGGGUGAGUAACGCGUAGGAAUCUGCCUCAUAGUGGGGGACAACGUGGGGAAACUCACGCUAAUACCGCAUACGCCCUACGGGGGAAAGCGGGGGAUCUUCGGACCUCGCGCUAUGAGAUGAGCCUGCGUUAGAUUAGCUAGUUGGUAGGGUAAAGGCCUACCAAGGCGACGAUCUAUAGCUGGUCUGAGAGGACGAUCAGCCACACUGGGACUGAGACACGGCCCAGACUCCUACGGGAGGCAGCAGUGGGGAAUAUUGGACAAUGGGCGCAAGCCUGAUCCAGCAAUACCGCGUGUGUGAAGAAGGCCUUAGGGUUGUAAAGCACUUUCAAUUGGGAGGAAAACCUGCCGGUCAAUACCCGGUAGCUUGACAUUACCUUUAGAAGAAGCACCGGCUAACUCCGUG
Molecule: ribosomal RNA, 500 nt
Filed under: uncultured bacterium
Lineage: Bacteria
Description: bacterial SSU rRNA
Rfam family: Bacterial small subunit ribosomal RNA
Source: RNAcentral